Molecule: ribosomal RNA, 504 nt
Filed under: uncultured Chloroflexota bacterium
Lineage: Bacteria; Bacillati; Chloroflexota
Description: bacterial SSU rRNA
Rfam family: Bacterial small subunit ribosomal RNA
Source: RNAcentral
AGAGUUUGAUCAUGGCUCAGGAUGAACGCUGGCGGCGUGCCUAAUACAUGCAAGUCGAACGAGGUAUUUUUGUAGCAAUACGAGAGUAUCCUAGUGGCGAACGGGUGAGUAACGCGUUGGUGACCUACCCCAAAGUGUGGGAUAACAGUCCGAAAGGAUUGCUAAUACCGCAUGUGGUUAUUGGAUUUAGAAACUUAUAACUAAAGGAGCAAUUCGCUUUGGGAGGGACCUGCGUCCCAUCAGCUAGUUGGUGAGGUAACGGCUCACCAAGGCUACGACGGGUAGGGGACCUGAGAGGGUGGCCCCCCACAAUGGAACUGAAACACGGUCCAUACACCUACGGGUGGCAGCAGUAGGGAAUAUUGCACAAUGGGCGAAAGCCUGAUGCAGCAACGCCGCGUGUGCGAUGAAGGCCUUCGGGUCGUAAAGCACUUUUCUGAGAGAUGAGAAAGGACAGUAUCUCAGGAAUAAGUCUCGGCUAACUACGUGCCAGCAGCCGCGGUA